CCCGAGGAGGGAGCCCGGGAGCUGACUCAGCGGAGCAGCCUGGCAUGUCUUCCCGGGAGCACGGCUUCCCUGCCGGAGCCUGCGGAGGGCAUGUAAACUCAAAGAGAGAAGGGAAAUCUCGUCAUGGGCGGUAACAAGAUCUGUGUCAUGAAGCAAAGGACCAGUCACUAACCGGAGCACUCCACAGCAGCAUCUUCUUUAUGAUCACAGUUUUUGCCAAACAAAGGUUUGGCAGGACAGUCCCAAAGAGAUAGUUCUGUUCCUUUGCAGUGCACCUUCUCCAACCAGAUGGGACCAGUCCCUUCCCCAAAGGCAGCUUCACUCAGAGCAGACAGAGCAGAUCCACAGCCCAGCUGCCUGCAUACAACAUUAGCAUCUGCCAAAUCCCAGGAAUCAUCACAGACUGUUCCCCAAGAGCCUUGCUGCCAAAUCUCCACUCUGCCUGAACAUCCAUACUCUCCUCCUAUGAGUCGUAACUUCUCCCUAUCUGGAAAACACAGAAACCUUCUGUGUUACUGAAACAGCAGGAAGGUCCAUAGGGACCAAUAAGGAGAAAUGAAGAGGUGAAUGUACCUGAACAGCUUGUAGAGUUUGGACACUCAGCAAAUGUGGCUGGAGAUGUUGCCUCUUUUCUUCCUGCAGAAUUGAAAUACUGAAGUAAAUAUUCUCUGAAAAGAGAGAAGGAGUAUAAAAUGCCUGAAAAUUAAUCAUAAAGGUGGGUUUUUUUCCUAUAAUAGAUCCACGGCCUAUCUAGUACUUGGUGGAUCGCUCUUUGGCUACUGCUAUGAAUAAGAUAACCUUCCUGAUGACUGUGCUUUGUCCCUUCUUGUAUGAGGCAGUUGCAAUCCCUUUCAGGAGAUCUGAAUGUCAUCUAGGACUCAUUUAUAUUAUAUUGGGAACCCGCAGGUAUGAAAUACUGUCAUAAGAGCAGGCAUUAGAAAUGGACCUUUAGAACUGAACUAAUACAUACAUUUUGUCAUGGCUACACGCAUGCAUAUGAGUACAUGUACAUAUGCACUGAUAUCCCUCCUUACAUGUAGAAAUACAUACAUGCCUCUAGACUUCUUGAGAAGUCUGAUCCUAACUCAGAUCUCUCAGACUGAUUUUCUAUCAUAGAUUUUUGCUUUAAAAAUAUGCAAUGGUACUAUCCUAUGACGGAGUUCCUUGGGAUUUCUCCCAGGUAACUGCACUCAAUGA
This is a long non-coding RNA of Pezoporus flaviventris, 1197 nucleotides long. RefSeq lists it as uncharacterized. NCBI's taxonomy places the organism in Eukaryota, Metazoa, Chordata, Aves, Psittaciformes, Psittacidae. The transcript is spliced from 2 exons. The record is from RefSeq and is a predicted model, not a curated record.